RNAcentral lists this ribosomal RNA (482 nucleotides) under uncultured bacterium. Its description in RNAcentral is "partial 16S ribosomal RNA". It matches the Rfam family "Bacterial small subunit ribosomal RNA", at positions 29 to 505 of the family's 1533-position model. The record is from RNAcentral.
AUUGAACGCUGGCGGCAUGCUUUACACAUGCCAGUCGAACGGCAGCGCGGGCUUCGGCCUGGCGGCGAGUGGCGAACGGGUGAGUAAUACAUCGGAACGUGCCCAGUAGUGGGGGAUAGCUCGGCGAAAGCCGGAUUAAUACCGCAUACGACCUGAGGGUGAAAGCGGGGGAUCUUCGGACCUCGCGCUAUUGGAGCGGCCGAUGGCAGAUUAGCUAGUUGGUGGGGUAAAGGCCUACCAAGGCGACGAUCUGUAGCUGGUCUGAGAGGACGACCAGCCACACUGGGACUGAGACACGGCCCAGACUCCUACGGGAGGCAGCAGUGGGGAAUUUUGGACAAUGGGCGAAAGCCUGAUCCAGCAAUGCCGCGUGUGUGAUGAAGGCCUUCGGGUUGUAAAGCACUUUUGGCGGGAACGAAAAGGACUGUGCCAAUACCACGGUUCGAUGACGGUACCCGCAGAAUAAGCACCGGCUAACUACG